GUAGGUGGCAAGCGUUGUCCGGAAUUAUUGGGCGUAAAGCGCGCGCAGGCGGUUCUUUAAGUCUGAGGUGAAAGCCCACGGCUCAACCGUGGAGGGUCAUUGGAAACUGGAGAACUUGAGUACAGAAGAGGAAAGCGGAAUUCCACGUGUAGCGGUGAAAUGCGUAGAGAUGUGGAGGAACACCAGUGGCGAAGGCGGCUUUCUGGUCUGUAACUGACGCUGAGGCGCGAAAGCGUGGGGAGCAAACAGGGAUUAGAUACCCUGGUAGUCCACGCCGUAAACGAUGAGUGCUAAGUGUUAGGGGGUUUCCCGCCCCUUAGUGCUGCAGCUAACGCAUUAAGCACUCCGCCUGGGGAGUACGGCCGCAAGGCUG
RNAcentral lists this ribosomal RNA (373 nucleotides) under uncultured organism. Its description in RNAcentral is "partial 16S ribosomal RNA". It matches the Rfam family "Bacterial small subunit ribosomal RNA", at positions 527 to 896 of the family's 1533-position model. The record is from RNAcentral.